UGCAAGUCGAGCGGGGGAGGUAGCUUGCUACUGGACCUAGCGGCGGACGGGUGAGUAAUGCUUAGGAAUCUGCCUAUUAGUGGGGGACAACAGUUGGAAACGGCUGCUAAUACCGCAUACGCCCUACGGGGGAAAGCAGGGGAUCUUCGGACCUUGCGCUAAUAGAUGAGCCUAAGUCGGAUUAGCUAGUUGGUGGGGUAAAGGCCUACCAAGGCGACGAUCUGUAGCGGGUCUGAGAGGAUGAUCCGCCACACUGGGACUGAGACACGGCCCAGACUCCUACGGGAGGCAGCAGUGGGGAAUAUUGGACAAUGGGGGCAACCCUGAUCCAGCCAUGCCGCGUGUGUGAAGAAGGCCUUUUGGUUGUAAAGCACUUUAAGCGAGGAGGAGGCUACUUAGAUUAAUACUCUAGGAUAGUGGACGUUACUCGCAGAAUAAGCACCGGCUAACUCUGUGCCAGCAGCCGCGGUAAUACAGAGGGUGCGAGCGUUAAUCGGAUUUACUGGGCGUAAAGCGUGCGUAGGCGGCUGAUUAAGUCGGAUGUGAAAUCCCUGAGCUUAACUUAGGAAUUGCAUUCGAUACUGGUCAGCUAGAGUAUGGGAGAGGAUGGUAGAAUUCCAGGUGUAGCGGUGAAAUGCGUAGAGAUCUGGAGGAAUACCGAUGGCGAAGGCAGCCAUCUGGCCUAAUACUGACGCUGAGGCACGAAAGCAUGGGGAGCAAACAGGAUUAGAUACCCUGGUAGUCCAUGCCGUAAACGAUGUCUACUAGCCGUUGGGGCCUUUGAGGCUUUAGUGGCGCA
This 799-nucleotide ribosomal RNA is filed under the name Acinetobacter sp. 2P1H8. RNAcentral describes it as "bacterial SSU rRNA". It matches the Rfam family "Bacterial small subunit ribosomal RNA", at positions 56 to 850 of the family's 1533-position model. The record is from RNAcentral. Lineage: Bacteria; Pseudomonadati; Pseudomonadota; Gammaproteobacteria; Moraxellales; Moraxellaceae.